GAGCGGCAACGUUCACCCAGGGCCGGAAAGUUGUCCAAACUUGGUCAUUUAGAGGAAGUAAAAGUCGUAACAAGGUCUCCGUAGGUGAACCUGCGGAGGGAUC
Molecule: ribosomal RNA, 103 nt
Filed under: Pezicula melanigena
Lineage: Eukaryota; Fungi; Ascomycota; Leotiomycetes; Helotiales; Dermateaceae
Description: partial 18S ribosomal RNA
Rfam family: Eukaryotic small subunit ribosomal RNA
Source: RNAcentral